UGUGACCUCAAAUCAGGUAGGACUACCCGCUGAACUUAAGCAUAUCAAUAAGCGGAGGAAAAGAAACUAACAAGGAUUCCCCUAGUAACUGCGAGUGAAGCGGGAAAAGCUCAAAUUUAAAAUCUGGUGGUCUUUUGGCCGUCCGAGUUGUAAUCUAGAGAAGUGUUAUCCGCGCUGGACCGUGU
RNAcentral lists this ribosomal RNA (185 nucleotides) under Cortinarius cinnabarinus. Its description in RNAcentral is "partial 28S ribosomal RNA". It matches the Rfam family "Eukaryotic large subunit ribosomal RNA", at positions 1 to 180 of the family's 3401-position model. Lineage: Eukaryota; Fungi; Basidiomycota; Agaricomycetes; Agaricales; Cortinariaceae. The record is from RNAcentral.